This 2580-nucleotide long non-coding RNA is filed under the name Cyanistes caeruleus (blue tit). RNAcentral describes it as "lncRNA (ENSCCEG00000001603.1)". The record is from RNAcentral. Lineage: Eukaryota; Metazoa; Chordata; Aves; Passeriformes; Paridae.
CGGAACUCCCGCUCCGCGCCCUGCCCGGGAGACCCUCGCCCCCCACGCCGCUCCCCUUCCUUGCUUCCUCCCCCCUACUUGUUUCCUCCCUGCCUGGAAGGGCCGCCGUGCCGCCUGUGCGAGCCCCGAGAGCUGCACGCAGCCCUACCCCUCUCCAGGGCUAUGCCCCUGACAGACAACGUCUCCCCGGCAUGCCGGGGGGAGAAGCUGAGGGGGAGGCCUCUCACCGAGAGGGACCCCGCACGCUGACAGCGGCCCCGGAGAGGCCGAGGCAGCCCCCGCCAGCCUGGCAUCCUCACAGCUACGACACGGUUCUGAGCCCCUGUGCACACACAUGCCGCUCCUCGCCCACGCGCUGACUAAGGAUGCUGUGGGAGGAAGGCUUUGGGUGCGACGGCAGGAGAAAAUAAUAGGCAAUGUUGGGGUUUGCUCGCUGUCUCAGUCAGUGUUGGCAGCAGUAGUACUCCAGCAGCGUGCUGCUGUGGGCUGUGGAGGAAAGGCUGGUGCUAGCAAGCCAGUUCCAAGGCGGUGGCAGCUCUCCUCAAAAGAAGAUAUGGAAAAUUAUUUGGAAUGUGUCUCGAACAGGCUCUCCUUCUGCCUCACACAUCUCCGUGUUCUUCAUAAUCUCAGCAUGUGGCUAGUGGAUGAAGCUGCGUCUCUGAAUCUUAAAGACCAAACCUAUUUGGAAUGAGUGCCUCUUGCAGCAGCCACAGCAAAAGGCAUUGACUCGACUCUUCUUUUUUUUGGCUGAAGACAGUUUGUAUUUGAUGUUUCUAUUUCCACAGUGCUUCAGGAGAAUGUGAAGAUGUUGUCUUUGAAAGCCUCACCCCUGUACUGCAACCCUUGUCCAUGUGAACUCUCACAGGCAGAGCGGCUUUGUACUAUGGCCUGUGCUGCCAGUCUUGGGGUGCUCUCAAACUGAGUCAGGAAGCCACUGAGGAAACACACACCCACUGGAACUAAAAGGGCACAUGAGGAUGCUUCAUUUGCCUUGAUACGCAAAUGGACAGUUUUAUGACCCAAAAAAUCUCAUUGAGAAGUACAAAAUGGUCAAUUAAAUGUGGCUACAGCAAAAGAGUGUUAGAAAUGAUGAGCAUUAUCGUAGUUACCUUGCCUUCUGUGAUUUGGAAAUUGCUGACCUCCAUAACCGUGACAAAAGACUCAUUUUCAGCAUUACAGAGAUGUGUUCCCUGAGUACACACUGUUCUUUAAUGCUUGAUGUGGUUUCACUUCAGCUACGACCAAGUACUUCUCAAAUGGCUGGAAUGUAAAAUGAAACAAUUGUUAUUACCUCCUUUCAACAUCUAUCACUUAUUUUUCAUUUAUUAAUGGUAGUGAGCAAAGAUCAUAAAACCACACCACCAGAAAACACAGAUAUCUAUGGAUGAAGACUUCAAAAUAUUCACUUUCUUAUCUUGAAAAAAAUUCAGCUUUGCAUGUUGGCAGAAUUGUUUACUGACAUAAUAGAAUUUAACGAUUAUCCACUUCUAUACUUUUAAAAUACAGUGGCUAUUUUUGAUUUUUAAAUUAUUACAGAUAUAAAUACACAAAAAAUUUAAUGAGGUCUGAUUUCUUUCACUUUUGAGAACUAGGGCUGAGAAAUAUCUUUCAAGCAGCAGACAAUUAUAAUUUAUUAAAAUACUCAAAUAUUAUAUAAACAUUCUGUUUUUUCCUAUGGAGCUUGGGAAUACUGAUAAGUAGAAUAGAAAGUAAAAAAAUACCAAGUCUGAAUUUUCAUUGAAAAAAACCAAAAUGGUUCUGAGAUUUGGAGUUGUGUAAAACAGAUUUUCCAAAAAAAAUUAAUACUUUUUUUGGUUUACAGUAUAGUAGAUAUUCUGACUUGGUGGUAAUGAUUUAAAUGAUUUAGAUCAUAAAGACAAAUGCUUUGAUGCCACUGAUAGAGGUGCAUUAGGAAUACCUCUUUGUAACUCUAUUGGUUCAGUAGCAGUCUCUGAACUAUUGACAUCUUCUUGGCAAGGCCAGUGCUAAUGCAAUAUAUUAUAAAAAACCAAACCUUUUUCUGACUUGUCUGCAUCAAAGUCAAUCUGAGAGAUGCACCUGUUCAGAGCAUAGAAAAAAUGAGGACAUAAAAUGACCUUGAUGUCAUUUUUCAAGUCUUCUUCUGGAAGCAUCCACUUUAUGAACAUUUGCUAGAAAUUCUGUGUUUAAAACUGUCUCUGUGUCCCUACAGGAGAGCCCUUGGAGACAUAUAUCCAUUAGCGUGGCUGUCUACCUUAAAAACAACAUAUUUUUCCUGGAGUCCAGCUAGGACUGAAUUAAGGGGACUGUAGAGACCACUCCACUCUCACCCUCUUAACACUAAUCCAUGACCUACAGAGGACAACAGUCUAAUUUUUGUGCAGAGCCGUUCACAAUCACAGCUCAAACUGCAAUCAGUUCUGAAUGCUUAUAUUAAAUCCUUCUAAACACGUUUCACUUUCAGAGAAUGUGAAAACCAGUUUGGGGUGCGAUAGUCACUUGUGAAAUGUGGUAGCUCUUUAGAGACCAACACGUGAAAUAUUCAACUAGUAACAGAACCAUUAAAAUAAAUGUAAAUGUGUUUCAGCUGAGAGAAAUAUU